This 274-nucleotide ribosomal RNA is filed under the name uncultured bacterium. RNAcentral's name for it is "partial 16S ribosomal RNA". It matches the Rfam family "Bacterial small subunit ribosomal RNA", at positions 523 to 796 of the family's 1533-position model. The record is from RNAcentral.
AUACGGAGGGUGCAAGCGUUAAUCGGAAUUACUGGGCGUAAAGCGCACGUAGGCGGAAUGUUAAGUUAGAGGUGAAAUCCCAGGGCUCAACCCUGGAACUGCCUUUAAUACUGGCAAUCUAGAGACCGAGAGAGGUGAGUGGAAUUCCGAGUGUAGAGGUGAAAUUCGUAGAUAUUCGGAGGAACACCAGUGGCGAAGGCGGCUCACUGGCUCGGUCCUGACGCUGAGGUGCGAAAGCGUGGGGAGCAAACAGGAUUAGAAACCCCAGUAGUCC